This 76-nucleotide transfer RNA is filed under the name Fidelibacterota bacterium. RNAcentral's name for it is "tRNA-Gly". It matches the Rfam family "tRNA". From Rfam's summary of the family: Transfer RNA (tRNA) molecules are approximately 80 nucleotides in length. Lineage: Bacteria; Pseudomonadati; Fidelibacterota. The record is from RNAcentral.
GCGAAAGUAGCUCAGCUGGUAGAGCAUCACGUUGCCAACGUGAGGGUCGUGGGUUCGAAUCCCAUCUUUCGCUCUA